This 497-nucleotide ribosomal RNA is filed under the name uncultured bacterium. RNAcentral's name for it is "partial 16S ribosomal RNA". It matches the Rfam family "Bacterial small subunit ribosomal RNA", at positions 28 to 507 of the family's 1533-position model. The record is from RNAcentral.
GAUGAACGCUGGCGGCGUGCCUAAUACAUGCAAGUCGAGCGAACAGACGAGGAGCUUGCUCCUCUGACGUUAGCGGCGGACGGGUGAGUAACACGUGGAUAACCUCCCUAUAAGACUGGGAUAACUUCUGGAAACCGGAGCUAAUACCGGAUAAUAUAUUGAACCGCAUGGUUCAAUAGUGAAAGACGGUUUUGCUGUCACUUAUAGAUGGUUCCGCGCCGCAUUAGCUAGUUGGUAAGGUAACGGCUUACCAAGGCAACGAUGCGUAGCCGACCUGAGAGGGGGAGAGGACACACGGGAACUGAGACACGGGCCAGACUCCUACGGGAGGCAGCAGUAGGGAAUCUGCCGAAGUAGGCGAAAGCAUGACGGAGCAACGCCGCGUGAGUGAUGAAGGUCUUGGGAUAGUGAAACUCUGUUAUUAGGGAAGAACAAAUGUGUAAGUAACUAUACACGUAUUGACGGUACCUGAUCAGAAAGCAACGGCUAACUACGUG